Molecule: ribosomal RNA, 1452 nt
Filed under: uncultured Bordetella sp.
Lineage: Bacteria; Pseudomonadati; Pseudomonadota; Betaproteobacteria; Burkholderiales; Alcaligenaceae
Description: partial 16S-23S ribosomal RNA intergenic spacer
Rfam family: Bacterial small subunit ribosomal RNA
Source: RNAcentral
AGUUUGAUUCUGGCUCAGAUUGAACGCUGGCGGGAUGCUUUACACAUGCAAGUCGAACGGCAGCACGGACUUCGGUCUGGUGGCGAGUGGCGAACGGGUGAGUAAUGUGCUCGAACGUGCCUAGUAGCGGGGGGAUAACUACGCGAAAGCGUAGCUAAUACCGCAUACGCCCCGGGGAAAGCGGGGGGACCUUCGGGCCUCGCACCAUUAGAGCGGCCGAUAUCGGAUUAGCUAGUUGGUGGGGUAACGGCUCACCAAGGCGACGAUCCGUAGCUGGUUUGAGAGGACGACCAGCCACACUGGGACUGAGACGGCCCACUCCUACGGGAGGCAGCAGUGGGGAAUUUUGGACAAUGGGAAACCUCCUGAUCCAGCCAUCCCGCGUGUGCGAUGAAGGCCUUCGGGUUGUAAAGCACUUGGUAGGAAAGAAACGGCACGGGGAUAAUAAUCUGUGGCAACUGACGGUACCUGCAGAAUAAGCACCGGCUAACUACGUGCCAGCAGCCGCGGUAAUACGUAGGGUGCAAGCGUUAACGAAUUACUGGGCGUAAGCAGCGCGCGGUUCGAAAGAUGGAAAUCCCAGAGCUUAACUUGAACUGCUUUAACUCACUGCUUAGAGUAAAAUGAGGGAGGAAUUCCGCAGCAGUGAAAUGCGUAGAUAUGCGGAGGAACACCGAUGGCGAAGACAGCCUCCUGGGAUAACACUGACGCUCAUGCACGAAAGCGUGGGGAGCAAACAGGAUUAGAUAAUUCCGGUAGUCCACGCCCUAAACGAUGUCAACUAGCUGUUGGGGCCUUCGGGCCUUGGUAGCGCAGCUAACGCGUAAAGUUGACCGCCUGGGGAGUACGGUCGCAAGAUUAAAACUCAAAAGGAAUUGACGGGGACCCGCACAAGCGGUGGAUGAUGUGGAUUAAUUCGAUGCAACGCGAAAACCUUUACCUACCCUUGACAUGUCUGGAAUCCCGAAGAGAUUUGGGAGUGCUCGCAAGAGAACCGAACAUAGGUGCCGUAUGCGGCUGUCGUCAGCUCGUGGCCGUGAGAUGUUGCUAAGUCCCGCAACGAGCGCAACCCUUGUCAUUAGUUGCUACGAAAGGGCACCUAAUGAGACUGCCGGUGACAAACCGGAGGAAGGUGGGAUGACGUCAAGUCCUCAUGGCCCUGCGGCAGGGCUUCACACGUCAUACAAUGGUCGGGACAGAGGGGUCGCCAACCCGCGAGGGGAGCCAAUCCCAGAAACCCGAUCGUAGUCCGGAUCGCAGUCUGCAACUCGACUGCGUGAAGUCGGAAUCGCUAGGGAUCGCGGAUCAGCAUGUCGCGUGGUGAAUACGUUCCCGGUCUUGCGCCACCGCCCGUCACACCAUGGGCGGGUUUUACCAGAAGUAGUUAGCCUAACCGUAAGGAGGGCGAUUACCACGGUAGGAUUCAUGACUGGGGUGAAGUCGUAACAAGGU